RNAcentral lists this long non-coding RNA (729 nucleotides) under Helianthus annuus (common sunflower). RNAcentral describes it as "hypothetical non coding rna". Lineage: Eukaryota; Viridiplantae; Streptophyta; Magnoliopsida; Asterales; Asteraceae. The record is from RNAcentral.
UUUAUACAAAUUUACACACAAAAAAUAUAUAAAAUCUACAUACAUAAAGAAAAUAAAAUUACAUAUUCCUUUAACAAAUUAAACCGACAAUGAAUUUAGUUUAUGGGGCUACAUGACACUCCUCGUGUUCUUCAUUCCAUCAUCGCCAAAACCACUGAUCCUCUAGUCCUUCUUCAAUCAAUCAACCACAAACCAAUCUAAAACAUGCUAUAAAUCUGAUUCACAUACAUACAUCGAUACACACCUUUUUAAUUCAAUUCAAUAUCUUAAUUUUUAUAAAAUCUCGGUCCAUCAACGGAACUCGAACCAGAUCUUGAGCGAAACGUAACCCGAAUCAUAGUCGGCGCCAGGUAACACCGCCGCCAUUGUUGACCGGAUUACUUGUCGGAGCCAGGUAACACCGCCGCCAUUGUCGGCGCUUCUGGUCGUCGGUCCGACUGCCAUCGUUGACUGCUUCACAUUAAAAGAACUAUUGCCGUCGGUCCGACUGCCGUCGCCACUAUCGGAGCCAGGUAACACCUCACCAAAGUUUUGUUGAUGGCUUCACAUUAAUUUCCUCCAACCAAAGAUUUGAAUUUGGCUUCUUCAGUCUUGGCAAUAGUUCGUCUCACAAUCUUUAUCUGGGAAUUUGGUUUGAAUUUGGAGAAAUAUCUUUAAAAGAAAAUGGAACUGGUCGAGAGAAAAGGGGGCAGGGGGGUUUGUGGUGAGCAAUGGACCGUAGGAUGGUGA